Molecule: transfer RNA, 86 nt
Filed under: Felis catus (domestic cat)
Lineage: Eukaryota; Metazoa; Chordata; Mammalia; Carnivora; Felidae
Rfam family: tRNA
About the family: Transfer RNA (tRNA) molecules are approximately 80 nucleotides in length. Their secondary structure includes four short double-helical elements and three loops (D, anti-codon, and T loops).
Source: Rfam by way of RNAcentral
GCCUGGGUGGCUCAGUUCGGUUAAGCGUCUGACUUCAGCUCAGGUCACGAUCUCGCGGUCCGUGAGUUCGAGCCCCGCAUCAGGCU